AAAUAGCGGAGGAAAAGAAACCAACUGGGAUUACCUUAGUAACGGCGAGUGAAGCGGUAAAAGCUCAAAUUUGAAAUCUGGUACUUUCAGUGCCCGAGUUGUAAUUUGUAGAAUUUGUCUUUGAUUAGGUCCUUGUCUAUGUUCCUUGGAACAGGACGUCAUAGAGGGUGAGAAUCCCGUUUGGCGAGGAUACCUUUUCUCUGUAAGACUUUUUCGAAGAGUCGAGUUGUUUGGGAAUGCAGCUCAAAGUGGGUGGUAAAUUCCAUCUAAAGCUAAAUAUUGGCGAGAGACCGAUAGCGAACAAGUACAGUGAUGGAAAGAUGAAAAGAACUUUGAAAAGAGAGUGAAAAAGUACGUGAAAUUGUUGAAAGGGAAGGGCAUUUGAUCAGACAUGGUGUUUUUUGCAUGCACUCGCCUCUCGUGGGCUUGGGCCUCUCAAAAAUUUCACUGGGCCAACAUCAAUUCUGGCAGUAGGAUAAAUCAUUAAGAAUGUAGCUACCUCGGUAGUGUUAUAGCUUAUUGGAAUACUGCUAGCUGGGAUUGAGGACUGCGCUUCGGCAAGGAUGUUGGCAUAAUGGUUAAAUGCCGCCCGUCUUGAACC
Molecule: ribosomal RNA, 601 nt
Filed under: Hanseniaspora opuntiae
Lineage: Eukaryota; Fungi; Ascomycota; Saccharomycetes; Saccharomycodales; Saccharomycodaceae
Description: eukaryotic LSU rRNA
Rfam family: Eukaryotic large subunit ribosomal RNA
Source: RNAcentral